This 1659-nucleotide long non-coding RNA is filed under the name Homo sapiens (human). RNAcentral describes it as "HSALNT0319716". Lineage: Eukaryota; Metazoa; Chordata; Mammalia; Primates; Hominidae. The record is from RNAcentral.
UCUUCCUCCUGUCGGCGGGAGGUGUGGAUCACCUACUGCGUGCGGGGAACAAACGCCGCCCCAGUACCGGUCCCUGCAGCGGAGUAGCCUUCACCUGCAAGGUGAACGCCUGCUCACCACGUAAUCCCCAAACGCAGAUAUCACGUUGUCUCUGCAACUUUCCCUGACAACCACCCAAUGCAAUUAAUUAUCCCACAAUAGUAUCUCCCGCAGGCUCUCUGUAGAACCAUAGAAUUCAUCCAUCAAAAUACAAUCAUUUGUUGAUCCGUCUCUCUCUGCCGCCCCCAAAUGUGAAUUCCUUGAGUCAGAGACUAUUCUACUCAGCAAAACAUUUGUGAGUGGAAUUAAAUUGAAAUAAACCGUUAUAGUCCACUCACAGAUGGAAAACACAUAGUAAAAUCCUAGAAUUCCAUUUCUCCCCUGAAAAUUUCCCAGACAGUCAGAGGGAGUUUCAUUCUUUCCUGUUUACUUUUCUCCCAAAUAGGCCUUCUGAGGCAGCAGAAUAGGGAAGGAAGUCAGAAGACUGACCAGCUCAUACCUAUGGAAUGCCUAUCAUACAUACACUUAAAAUUAUGGCAAGCUCACGCAGGCGCACUAAGAGAGAAAAAACAAGAAAACAGAUAUGACAAUUAUAGGAAAUCCCCUCCCUAGAGUUAAAGAAGUGUAGGAAGUGGGUAUAAAAGAACAAAGGCUAUAUUAAUCCAGGGCUGACACCACUUGAAGAUAAGCCCGUUCCUCUCUCUGCUCUUUCACUUUGGUUUAAAGCUGCCUUCUGCUGGCACGGAUUGGGCAGUUAAGAACGAAAAAGGCACUGGCCGCUUGAAGACUCCCAUUGUUGCGGGAAAGCAGAGGACCAGAAAGACCAAUGGGUGGAGCAGGAGGAUUUUAUUAAGGGUCAAGCCUGCAAUACCUAAAGCUCCAGACCUGGAACCCAAAGCUCCCAUCAGUCGCUACCCUGUGAACCUGUGGAGGAUCUGAAGUACCUGUUUAAAAGGCAUCCAAAAGAUAGAAUCUAUCAAGCUACAAAUGGCUAUGUUGCCUGAAGCCCCAGACAUCAUCCUACAAGAAAUAAGUCCAGACUUCUUAAUUUCCCCCUGGAUAGAGCAGGGUAAGAGUUCUGUGGUCCCCUGUUAGGUGGGGCCAGCAGUCCCACUCAGCUGGAAGCAAGUAUAGAAGAAAGAACUUCAACCCUCAGCAACCUAUUAUGAUUUAUGGGGAUCACAUCUCUCAGAGGGAAUUGAGGCAGGAGAAUAGGGAAGGAAGUCAGAAAAUCAACCUGCAGCCUUUUCUCACCAAAACAAGCAUAAGGCACCAUCUGAUAAGGAAGCUGAAGCAAUGAACCAAUGCUUUCUGCAGUAAACAAAUCUGGUAUAACCUUUUAUUAUAAUAAGUUACUUAAAGCCCAUACAUAUGGAAUGCAUAUCAUACAUACACUUAAAAUUAUGGAAUGGCAAGCACAUGCAGGCGCACUGAGAGAGAAAACCAACAAGAAAACUGAUAUGUCAAUUAUAGGCAACCUCCUCCCUAAAAGUUAAGUAAGAGUAGUAAGGUGGUAUAAAAGAACAAAGGCUAUGUUAACCCAGGGCUGAUACCACUCGCGGAUCAGCCCAUUCUUCUCUCUGGAACAUUCUUUGCUUAAUACAUCUUGUGGGGUCAUUA